GACGAACGCUGGCGGCGUGCUUAACACAUGCAAGUCGAACGGAAAGGCCCUGCUUUUGUGGGGUGCUCGAGUGGCGAACGGGUGAGUAACACGUGAGUAACCUGCCCUUGACUUUGGGAUAACUUCAGGAAACUGGGGCUAAUACCGGAUAGGAGCUCCUGCUGCAUGGUGGGGGUUGGAAAGUUUCGGCGGUUGGGGAUGGACUCGCGGGUUAUCAGCUUGUUGGUGGGGUAGUGGCUUACCAAGGCUUUGACGGGUAGCCGGCCUGAGAGGGUGACCGGCCACAUUGCGACUGAGAGACGGCCCAGAAUCCUACGGGAGGCAGCAGUGGAGAAUAUUGCACAAUGGGCGGAAGCCUGAUGCAGCAACGCCGCGUGCGGGAUGACGGCCUUCGGGUUGUAAACCGCUUUCGCCUGUGACGAAGCGUGAGUGACGGUAAUGGGUAAAGAAGCACCGGCUAACUACGUG
RNAcentral lists this ribosomal RNA (468 nucleotides) under uncultured bacterium. Its description in RNAcentral is "partial 16S ribosomal RNA". It matches the Rfam family "Bacterial small subunit ribosomal RNA", at positions 28 to 507 of the family's 1533-position model. The record is from RNAcentral.